CCUACGGGAGGCUGCAGUGGGGAAUAUUGCACAAUGGGGGAAACCCUGAUGCCGCGACGCCGCGUGAGUGAAGAAGUAUUUCGGUAUGUAAAGCUCUAUCAGCAGGGAAGAAAAUGACGGUACCUGAUUCAGCAGCACAGGCUAACUACGUGCCCGCAGCCGCGGUAUUACGUAGGGGGCAAGCGGUAUCCGGGUUUACUGGGUGUUAAGGGAGCGUAGACGGCAGCACAAGUCUGGAGUGAAAGGCCGGGGCUUAACCCCGGAACUGCUUUGGAAACUGUGCAGCUAGAGUUCAGGAGAGGUAAGUGGAAGUCCUAGUGUAGCGGUGAAAUGCGUAGAUAUUAGGAGGAACACCAGUGGCGAAGGCGGCUUACUGGACUGUAACUGACGUUGAGGCUCGAAAGCGUGGGGAGCAAACAGGAUUAGAUACCCUUGUAGUC
RNAcentral lists this ribosomal RNA (440 nucleotides) under uncultured bacterium. Its description in RNAcentral is "partial 16S ribosomal RNA". It matches the Rfam family "Bacterial small subunit ribosomal RNA", at positions 338 to 795 of the family's 1533-position model. The record is from RNAcentral.